Molecule: ribosomal RNA, 295 nt
Filed under: uncultured microorganism
Description: partial 16S ribosomal RNA
Rfam family: Bacterial small subunit ribosomal RNA
Source: RNAcentral
GUGCCAGCAGCCGCGGUAAUACGAAGGGGGCUAGCGUUGCUCGGAAUCACUGGGCGUAAAUCGGGUGCGUAGGCGGGUCUUUAAGUCAGGGGUGAAAUCCUGGAGCUCAACUCCAGAACCUGCCUUUGAUACUGAAGAUCUUGAGUCCGGGAGAGGUGAGUGGAACUGCGAGUGUAGAGGUGAAAUUCGUAGAUAUUCGCAAGAACACCAGUGGCGAAGGCGGCUCACUGGCCCGGUACUGACGCUGAGGCACGAAAGCGUGGGAAGCAAACAGGAUUAAAUACCCUGGUAGUCC